CCUACGGGAGGCAGCAGUGAGGAAUAUUGGUCAAUGGACGCAAGUCUGAACCAGCCAUGCCGCGUGCAGGAAGACGGCUCUAUGAGUUGUAAACUGCUUUUGUACGAGGGUAAACGCAGAUACGCGUAUCUGUCUGAAAGUAUCGUACGAAUAAGGAUCGGCUAACUCCGUGCCAGCAGCCGCGGUAAUACGGAGGAUUCAAGCGUUAUCCGGAUUUAUUGGGUUUAAAGGGUGCGUAGGCGGUCGGAUAAGUUAGAGGUGAAAUCCCGAGGCUCAACUUCGGAAUUGCCUCUGAUACUGUUCGGCUAGAGAGAGUUGCGGUAGGCGGAAUGUAUGGUGUAGCGGUGAAAUGCUUAGAGAUCAUACAGAACACCGAUUGCGAAGGCAGCUUACCAAGCUACUUCUGACGUUGAGGCACGAAAGUGUGGGUAUCAAACAGGAUUAGAUACCCGGGUAGUC
RNAcentral lists this ribosomal RNA (459 nucleotides) under uncultured bacterium. RNAcentral describes it as "partial 16S ribosomal RNA". It matches the Rfam family "Bacterial small subunit ribosomal RNA", at positions 338 to 795 of the family's 1533-position model. The record is from RNAcentral.